Long non-coding RNA from Anguilla rostrata (American eel), 841 nucleotides. RefSeq lists it as uncharacterized. The record is from RefSeq and is a predicted model, not a curated record. The transcript is spliced from 3 exons. Lineage: Eukaryota; Metazoa; Chordata; Actinopteri; Anguilliformes; Anguillidae.
GUAUCCAGGGCACAAACACCUCUGUCUGUGAUUCACAUGGGCCGAGUUUCAGACCGCACACACACAUUACAUAAUGCAUUACUACCACCCGAACGAGAAACCGAUACGGGACCCCUGUUGAGUUCUGCCCCCGUCUGAUGCAGUAAUCUGACUCCUGGAACACCUUAUGAUGUGCAUUUGUCUCUUCGUGACUUACUGUACUUCCAUUUCAGCACUCUGAUCGUUGAUUCUCUGCGUCAAUCGUCCGUUUCCAUUCUUUAAUCGUAUCCCGUUUACUUGGCCGUUUGCAAAGAGUGUUGCGAGUGCAAGCAGGAAGUUACAGACGCUCUGCAGCAGCACCAGAACGUAGAAGGCAUCAGGUCGACAUUGCCUUUUCCUUUUAAUAUCUCCAUGCACAGCUGGCCUGCGUGGGGAAGUCUCCCGCUCUCUGGGGAAAUGCGUCAGCGGCAGUUUAUCUUGUCUUUGUUCUCAGACAGUACAUUAUUAACUGGGUCUUUUUCAUUUGCAGUUGCAACAUCAGCCGUCUACAAGUGCGACUGAGCUGCCCAGGGGAUUCCCCUGGAUUAAACCUCCCACACACUGCUCGCUGCCAUGGGAAAAUUGUAGCGUAAGAUGUUACUGCAGCGAUGGCCCUCGAUCGGAUGGGAGCAGCGUCCCUUCUCCUCCUCCUCCUGCUUCAGAUGCGCCAUACCGUUUCAUCCGCAGCGUUGCCGGAGCAACCGUACCCGGACGUGUGGCUGACAGGAUUCGAGCCGAUUGUGAUUGACGGGCAGCCGGUGGAGCCCGCCUGUAAGAUCAUCCCUAUCGGCGAAACAACCCCCGCGCCCCCCACUGCGCCCCC